GCCAGGCAUGGUGGCACGUGCCUAUAAUCCCAGCUACUCGGGAGGCUGAGGCAGAAUCACUUGAACCCAGGAGGCAGAGGUUGCCGUAAGCCAAGAUCACACCACUGCACUUCAGCUUGGGUGACAGAGCGAGACUCAGUCUCAAAAAAAAAAAAAGAAAGAGAAAUAGGGUCUUGCUCUGUCACCCAGGCUGGAGUGCAGUGGUGUGAUCAUGGCUCACUGCAGCCUCAAACUCCUGGGCUCAAGAUAUCCUCCUGCCUCUU
This 263-nucleotide small RNA is filed under the name Nomascus leucogenys (northern white-cheeked gibbon). Its description in RNAcentral is "Metazoan signal recognition particle RNA (ENSNLEG00000015301.2)". Lineage: Eukaryota; Metazoa; Chordata; Mammalia; Primates; Hylobatidae. The record is from RNAcentral.